GCAGACAGCGAACUCGUGUUUAACACCGGCGGCGUGCGGCGGGGGCGACCCCGUCCCGCGCUCGUCUCCCUCGCCGGCGUGCUCCCUCGGGUCACGCCGUGCGGGCUAACGAACCCCGGCGCGGAAUGCGCCAAGGAAUACUCAACGGAGCGUCCUCUCCCCGUACCCCGUUCGCGGACCGUGCGGGGGCGACCGGAUGUCUCAAAAAUGUCUUAACGACUCUCGGCAACGGAUAUCUCGGCUCUCGCAUCGAUGAAGAACGUAGCGAAAUGCGAUACUUGGUGUGAAUUGCAGAAUCCCGUGAACCAUCGAGUCUUUGAACGCAAGUUGCGCCCGAAGCCAUUAGGCCGAGGGCACGUCUGCCUGGGCGUCACGCAUCGCGUCGCCCCCCGCCCUGCGCUUAGCGAGUGGUCGGGGAGCGGAAACUGGCCUCCCGUUCGCCUUCGGUGUGCGGCUGGCCCAAAUGCGAUCCCUCGGCGACUCGCGUCACGGCAAGUGGUGGUUGAACACUCAAUCUCUUGCGCCGUCGUGCCGCUGUGUCGUUCUUACGGGUGUCUAUCAAUGACCCUUCGGUGGCGGUGCCUCACGGCUCCACACCUUCGACCGCG
This 608-nucleotide ribosomal RNA is filed under the name Salvia farinacea. RNAcentral's name for it is "eukaryotic LSU rRNA". The stretch from base 218 to 373 matches the Rfam family "5.8S ribosomal RNA". The record is from RNAcentral. Lineage: Eukaryota; Viridiplantae; Streptophyta; Magnoliopsida; Lamiales; Lamiaceae.